Long non-coding RNA from Astyanax mexicanus (Mexican tetra), 223 nucleotides. RefSeq lists it as uncharacterized. The transcript has 3 exons. Lineage: Eukaryota; Metazoa; Chordata; Actinopteri; Characiformes; Acestrorhamphidae. The record is from RefSeq and is a predicted model, not a curated record.
UGUUGAAGUUGUUUCUGUUGGGUUUUCAGCAGUAGUUGGUGUAUUUUCAGAUGGUGUUACAGUUGUUGGUGUUACAGAAGUUGUUUCUGUUGGGUUUUCAGAUGGUGUUACAGUUGUUGGUGUUACAGAAGGUGUUUUUGGUGGGUUUUCAGAUGGUGUUACAGUUGUUGGUGCUACAGAAGGUGUUUGUGUUGAUGACAAAGUUGUUUCUGUUGGGUUUUCA